Molecule: ribosomal RNA, 878 nt
Filed under: uncultured bacterium
Lineage: Bacteria
Description: bacterial SSU rRNA
Rfam family: Bacterial small subunit ribosomal RNA
Source: RNAcentral
GGCUCAGGAUGAACGCUGGCGGCGUGCCUCAUGCAUGCAAGCCGAACGGGAACACUUUUAGUAGCAAUACUGAGGGUGUUCUAGUGGCGAUCGGGUGAGUAACACGUAGGUGACCUGCCCCGAAGAGGGGGAUAACGGUCCGAAAGGACUGCUAAUACCCCAUGUGGUUGAUGAUUCAUUUCGUCAAUUAAAGUUUCCGCAAGGAGUAUGCUUCGGGAGGGGCCUGCGGCGGAUUAGAUAGUUGGUGGGGUAAUGGCCUACCAAGUCGAUGAUCCGUAGCUAGUCUGAGAGGACGAUUAGCCACACUGGCACUGACACACGGGCCAGACUCCUACGGGAGGCAGCAGCAGGGAAUAUUGCACAAUGGGCGAAAGCCUGAUGCAGCAACGCCGCGUGAGGGAUGAAGGUCUUCGGAUUGUAAACCUCUUUUACAGGGGACGAGUAAGGACGGUACCCUGUGAAUAAGCAACGGCUAACUACGUGCCAGCAGCCGCGGUAAUACGUAGGUUGCGAGCGUUAUUCGGAUUUACUGGGCGUAAAGAGCACCGAGGUGGCUUCUUAAGUUGGAUGUAAAAUCUCCUGGCUUAACUGGGAGGCGCCAUUCAAAACUGAGGAGCUUGAGGUCAGCAGGGGAAGGUGGAAUUCCCGGUGUAGUGGUGGAAUGCGUAGAGAUCGGGAGGAACACCAGUGGCGAAAGCGACCUUCUGGGCUGCACCUGACACUCUAGUGCGAAAGCGUGGGGAGCAAACAGGAUUAGAUACCCUGGUAGUCCACGCCCUAAACGAUGGAUACUAGGUGUGGGAGGUAUUGACCCCUUCCGUGCCGAAGCCAACGCGUUAAGUAUCCCGCCUGGGGACUACGGCCGCAAAGUUAAAACU